AGGUUAAGCUGGAAAGGGCGCACGGUGGAUGCCUUGGCACUAGGAGCCGAUGAAGGACGGGGCAAACGCCGAAACGCUUCGGGGAGCUGUAAGCAAGCGUUGAUCCGGAGAUGUCCGAAUGGGGGAACCCACUGUCCGUAAUGGGGCAGUAUCCAUGCCUGAAUCCAUAGGGCAUGGAGGGCACACCCGGGGAACUGAAACAUCUUAGUACCCGGAGGAGAAGAAAGCAACCGCGAUUCCCUGAGUAGCGGCGAGCGAAACGGGAACAGCCCAAACCAAGAGGCAUGUCCUCUUGGGGUUGUAGGACCGCUCACUGUGGGAGUGAGAAAGGAACGGGGUAGACGAACCGGUCUGGAACGGCCGGCCGGAGAAGGUGAGAGCCCUGUAGUCGAAACUUCGUUCCCUCCCGAGCGGAUCCUGAGUACGGCGGGACACGGGAAAUCCCGUCGGAAGCAGGGAGGACCAUCUCCCAAGGCUAAAUACUCCCUAGUGACCGAUAGUGCACCAGUACCGUGAGGGAAAGGUGAAAAGCACCCCGGGAGGGGAGUGAAAGAGAACCUGAAACCGUGUGCCUACAAGUAGUCAGAGCCCGUUGAUGGGUGAUGGCGUGCCUUUUGUAGAAUGAACCGGCGAGUGACGAUGGCGUGCGAGGUUAAGCCGAAGAGGCGGAGCCGCAGCGAAAGCGAGUCUGAAUAGGGCGUGAAGUACGUCGUCGUCGACCCGAAACCAGGUGAUCUACCCAUGUCCAGGGUGAAGGCCGGGUAACACCGGCUGGAGGCCCGAACCCACGCACGUUGAAAAGUGCGGGGAUGAGGUGUGGGUAGGGGUGAAAUGCCAAUCGAACUUGGAGAUAGCUGGUUCUCCCCGAAAUAGCUUUAGGGCUAGCCUCGGGUUUAAGAGUGUUGGAGGUAGAGCACUGAUUGGGCUAGGGGCCCUCAACGGGUUACCGAACCCAGUCAAACUCCGAAUGCCAACGACUUAUGCCCGGGAGUCAGACUGCGAGUGAUAAGAUCCGUGGUCGAGAGGGGAACAGCCCAGACCGCCAGCUAAGGCCCCGAAGUGCACGUUCAGUGGAAAAGGAUGUGGAGUUGCCGAGACAACCAGGAUGUUGGCUUAGAAGCAGCCACCAUUUAAAGAGUGCGUAAUAGCUCACUGGUCGAGUGACUCUGCGCCGAAAAUGUACCGGGGCUAAACGUGCCGCCGAAGCUGCGGGAUGACCGUUGGUCAUCGGUAGGGGAGCGUUCUAAGGGCAGAGAAGCCAGACCGGAAGGACUGGUGGAGCGCUUAGAAGUGAGAAUGCCGGUAUGAGUAGCGAAAACAGAGGUGAGAAUCCUCUGCGCCGAAAGCCUAAGGGUUCCUGAGGAAGGUUCGUCCGCUCAGGGUUAGUCGGGACCUAAGCCGAGGCCGAAAGGCGUAGGUGAUGGACAACAGGUKGAGAUUCCUGUACCACCUUCUUCCCGUUUGAGCGAUGGGGGGACGCAGGAGGAUAGGGCGAGCAGGCGGCUGGAAGAGCCUGUCCAAGCCGUGAGGCUGAUCCGCAGGCAAAUCCGCGGAUCGWAAGGCYAAGCGGUGACGGCGACGGACRYRGUCCGGAAGUCCCCGAUUUCACACUGCCAAGAAAAGCCUCUAGCGAGGGAAGAGGUGCCCGUACCGCAAACCGACACAGGUAGGCGAGGAGAGAAUCCUAAGGCGCGCGGGAGAACUCUCGUUAAGGAACUCGGCAAAAUGACCCCGUAACUUCGGGAGAAGGGGUGCUCUUUGGGGUGAAGAGCYCUGAAGAGCCGCAGUGAAAAGGCCCAAGCGACUGUUUAUCAAAAACACAGGUCUCUGCGAAGCCGAAAGGCGACGUAUAGGGGCUGACACCUGCCCGGUGCUGGAAGGUUAAGGGGAGCGCUUAGCGGAAGCGAAGGUGCGAACCGAAGCCCCAGUAAACGGCGGCCGUAACUAUAACGGUCCUAAGGUAGCGAAAUYCCUGGUCGCGUAAGUUCCGACCAGAACGCAGGGGGUAACGACAGGGGCGCUGUCUCAACG
Molecule: ribosomal RNA, 2031 nt
Filed under: Geobacillus sp. LEMMY01
Lineage: Bacteria; Bacillati; Bacillota; Bacilli; Caryophanales; Anoxybacillaceae
Description: bacterial LSU rRNA
Rfam family: Bacterial large subunit ribosomal RNA
Source: RNAcentral